AUUGAACGCUGGCGGAAUGCUUUACACAUGCAAGUCGAACGGCAGCACGGGGGCAACCCUGGUGGCGAGUGGCGAACGGGUGAGUAAUACAUCGGAACGUGCCCAGUCGUGGGGGAUAACGUAGCGAAAGGUACGCUAAUACCGCAUACGAUCUACGGAUGAAAGCGGGGGACCGUAAGGCCUCGCGCGAUUGGAGCGGCCGAUGUCAGAUUAGGUAGUUGGUGAGGUAAAGGCUCACCAAGCCGACGAUCUGUAGCUGGUCUGAGAGGACGACCAGCCACACUGGGACUGAGACACGGCCCAGACUCCUACGGGAGGCAGCAGUGGGGAAUUUUGGACAAUGGGCGCAAGCCUGAUCCAGCCAUUCCGCGUGCAGGACGAAGGCCUUCGGGUUGUAAACUGCUUUUGUACGGAACGAAAAGGCUCUGGUUAAUACCUGGGGCUCAUGACGGUACCGUAAGAAUAAGCACCGGCUAACUACGUGCCAGCAGCCGCCGUA
This 499-nucleotide ribosomal RNA is filed under the name uncultured bacterium. RNAcentral's name for it is "partial 16S ribosomal RNA". It matches the Rfam family "Bacterial small subunit ribosomal RNA", at positions 30 to 522 of the family's 1533-position model. The record is from RNAcentral.